RNA transcript from Beta vulgaris subsp. vulgaris (sugar beet), 2193 nucleotides. It is a transcript of the gene named protein ENHANCED PSEUDOMONAS SUSCEPTIBILITY 1, with no coding region annotated. NCBI's taxonomy places the organism in Eukaryota, Viridiplantae, Streptophyta, Magnoliopsida, Caryophyllales, Amaranthaceae. The transcript has 2 exons. The record is from RefSeq and is a predicted model, not a curated record.
CUACCCAGCAAUUUCAAUCUUCUACAAGUAAGACAAAGUUUUUUCUAUUUGUUCUUUUUCUAGUUUGGGAAGUUAUCGGUUAGACAGUUAUCACAACACCUUAGCACCACAAAGCUUGACAAAAGAAAGCCACACAAAAUGUUUUCUUCCGUCCUCUGUUUUGCUUCUACAUCUAGGCUCUAGCCGGCCCCCGUACAAAGUACAAACAGAAACACAUCAACGACCAUACGUAGAUUUGACCCUUCUAAAACAUGGCAGAAAUCAAAUUCAUAUCAGAAAGCUUUGCAAAACCAAAAUAUGAGGUUGAAGAUGCAAAACAACCUUACUAUUUAUCCCCUAUUGAAUUAGCCAUGUUAUCCAUUGAUCCUAUACAAAAAGGUCUCCUUUAUUCCCUUAAUAACUCUAGUAAUGAAGUUAAUUACGAUCGAACCAAAGUUAUAUCUCAUCUCUUAGAGAAGCUUAAACACUCACUUUCCUUAGCCCUUGUUCAUUUCUACCCAUUAGCCGGCCGUUUCGCUACACGAAAAUAUCCCGACGAGCACGCUUGUUCGGUCUUUGUCGAUUGUACCAAGGGCCCCGGAGCUAGGCUUAUCCAUGCUUUCGCCGUAGACGUUACUAUAUCUGAUAUUAUGUCUUCCAUUGAUGUUCCAACAAUAUAUAGUUAGAUCUUUCUUUGAGCUCGGUGAAAAAAUGGUUAAUCAUGAUGGUCAUACGAGGGCUUUGUUAUCGAUCCAAGUAACAGAACUCCUAGAUGGGGUGUUUAUAGGGUUUACUAUGAACCAUAGUGUAGUAGAUGGUACCUCUUUUAUCCAUUUGCUUAACAUGUUAUCCGAAUUGUUUAGAUUAGAAGAUCAAUUUUGUGAUGACACUACCACCCUAAAAAUUUCACGUGUGCGGUGUGCCCAUAUUUAAUUAUAAGCCGUGGAUAGAUAGUACUAUUUGUGAUACGCCACUGCUUAAGCUGCCCUAUUUGGAGCCGGAAGAGUUCAUAUUCCAUGGAUAUGAGCCCGGCCCAUUAAGGGAGCAGAUAUUCCACUUCUCAACUACGUCGUUGGCUACUCUAAAGUCGAAGGCUAACCAAGAAUGUGGGACCCACAACGAGAUAUCCUCGUUCCAAGCCUUGAGUGCUCUUGUGUGGAGGUCUAUAACUCGUGUUAGGAACCUAUCAAAGGAUGAAAGGACCUGUUGUAAUAUGUUAAUUAACGCUAGGAGUAGAUUUGAUCCACCUAUAUCUGAUGAUUACUUUGGAAAUUUACUUGGUGGAUCACAAUUGGUUGUCAAUGUGGAGGAACUGUUGGGCCAUGACUUGGGUUGGGCUGCAAUGAAAUUGCACAAAACCAUUAUGGGCCAGGACGGAGAAACAAUCUGUGGCCAGUAUAAGGGAUUAGCUAUAUCCCCAAUGGUGUUUCAGCGUGGUGUUGGACCAGAUAUCCACGGCCCACAUAGCGUGGUUAUAGGAGGUUCGGCGAGGUUUGAUAUUUAUGGGCCUGAAUUUGGGCUGGGCCGACCUCUGGUUGCUCUCAUGGGCUAUGCAAGUAAAGAUGAUGGAAAGGUGACAGCAAAUCCGGGUUGUAAAGGGGGAGGAAGUGUGGAUUUGGAAAUUAGCCUAAAGCCUCAUUAUAUGGCUGCCCUUGAACUUGAUUAUGAGUUCAUGAGUUAUGUUUCAUUGCAUUGAGGAACUAACUAGUUUCCUGCAAUCAAAUUUUCUUAUAAUGCAUCUAGAUUAGUAACGAGGUUUCAAAGAUUUGGAUAAUAAAGAGGAAAGACCAAGAGGAAGUUUUUGGUCCUUCUAAGCUCUAGCUCAAAUUAUUUGCUCUACUUUUCAAUUUAGGACCAGGGGCGGACCCACGUGGGGUCUUGGGUGGCACGUGCCCCACCAUUAUUUUUUUUAAAAAAAAAUUAGUUUAAAAAAAAAGCAAAAUAAAAAAAACGUGUACAGCUCUUCACCUUUCAGUGUAAUACACUACACUACUACACUCCUUAUACAGUAAUAUUGGAAUUCCCAAUCCCAAGUCCCACUCGACCACUUUAUAAAACAUUAAAACCUAAAAAAGUACUUUUAGAAACCUACUGCUAGACCUGCUAACUUACCUGCAAUUCUGCAAACCUAAAAAAGAGUGUUAUGUGUCACAAACUCACGGUUAUAGGCAAGUACUCUGUUUCUUUCUUGGAAUCUCCGGUUUUCUUUUCCCA